This 376-nucleotide unclassified non-coding RNA is filed under the name soil metagenome. Its description in RNAcentral is "partial contains 5.8S ribosomal RNA, internal transcribed spacer 2, and large subunit ribosomal RNA". The stretch from base 1 to 120 matches the Rfam family "5.8S ribosomal RNA", at positions 35 to 154 of the family's 154-position model. The record is from RNAcentral.
GAUGAAGAACGCAGUGAAAUGCGAUAAGUAAUGUGAAUUGCAGAAUUCAGUGAAUAAUCGAAUCUUUGAACGCACCUUGCACCCUUUGGCAUUCCGAAGGGUAUGCUCGUUUGAGUGUCAUUGUACUCUCACACUCCCGAUCUUUGGAUUGGGAGCGGUGGACUUGGGUUUGCUGCUUGCCGUGGCUCACCUCAAAUGGAUUAGUGCAACUCUUGGUUGACCAUAGUACGGCGUGAUAAGUGUCUUCGCCGGCACCUCACUGGGUGGGCCGAUCGGGAGCUCUGUGCUUCAAACCGUCUUCGGACAACAACUGACAAAUUGACCUCAAAUCGAGUAGGACCACCCGCUGAACUUAAGCAUAUCAAUAAGCGGAGGA